This 12639-nucleotide long non-coding RNA is filed under the name Homo sapiens (human). RNAcentral's name for it is "HSALNT0075096". The record is from RNAcentral. Lineage: Eukaryota; Metazoa; Chordata; Mammalia; Primates; Hominidae.
GUGAUUUUAUGUGCAAUCACAUAAUUUUGAAUCUAAGAUUUUUCUUAGCUUUUAAAAAAUUAAAUAAAAGAGGUAAAGGUGUUCUAAAAUUCAGGUCUGAUUUUAUCCAAAAAUUAUUUAGUGUCUUACAUUUACCCACAAAAUAAUUUUUUUCCUAAAUCACUUUCCAGUCAAAACAAUUUUAUGUGUUCUCUGCACUCUGGUAAUCAACUCUUGUCAUUGUACAAAUGAUUUAGUCUAAUAGAUAUAUCAGCUACAGCAUUCUACCACCUGAAAUAUCCUCCUUCCAUAGCUUUAUAUAUCCUAAGCCUGCUAGUUUUGAAAUUUCCAUUAAGAUGCUAUCAGUUCCAUGCAAAUAUUUCUAAUCUAUUUUCUAAGUUGGGUUCUCAAGGAAACAGGUAUGAGAUGGAGAUUUGCUUGUAUGCAGAAGGUUUAUUUGAAGUGCUACUGAGAGAGCACUUGCAAUGGAGUGAGGGAAGAGGGACUGGACAGAGGAAGAGAUGAAAGUUUGAUGCAAAUACAAUACCAGUUUAGAUCAUCCAACGUACUAGUCUGUAGAUAACCCUUCAUAUUUGUCCCCUGAAGAAAUGAACUUAGACAUUUCUAGUUUUGCAAUGACUGUUCAUUGGAUUCAUGCUGCCCCUAGAAAGAGGGUGGAACAAUUCCCGUCCAUGGCAAUUCCUGAACAGAGGCUCAGAUGUCUUUCUUGGCUGUGAAGCAAGUAUCUCAGUAUGUACCACAGCACAUUACACUCUUCUCUAAGAUUCUACAGUAUCCUAUAUUUACCACAUUUGGGUCUUUUUGUUGUUUCUGGCCUUAGAGUGUAGCUCUUUGUAUAGUUAGUCAAUAUUCACUACUGGCCUCUAAAUUUCUUUUUUUUUUUUUUUUGGCAGGGGGUGCGGGGUAAUUCCAUAAAUGAGUUUGCACAGUACAUUCUACAAUAUAGAAAUUUGAUAAAUACCUGUUAAAAGAGUGAUUAAUACAUGAAUGAAGUGCCCUGUUGAAAAUUGUUUCAGUAUUAAAAAUAUUAACACUAAGAAAAAAAUGAAAAAUGAUUUCUAUUUAAAUAUAGUACACUUCUGUAAAUAAAAACAGGCUACUCGUGUUGCAAUGACAUGGCACUAUUCCAAGAAGGUAGAUCUGCACUGGGCAAAUUGAUUUAUAAAUACCCCAGGGGAGUGGUUUUCAAAUUGUAGCUCUAAGAGCUGAUUGUGGUGGGUGUCUCUGGAAAUCCUCUCCUACUUUUUUCCAGAACAGCUCAAAUUUAUUGAUUAUAUUUAUAUAGUUAAAAAGUUUGAAAGCUUGCUCUAGGUUACAUAACACUAACAAAUUAAAUUAUACUACAUGAAAACUCUUUCCCAAUAUAUAAAUAUAGUUUUCAUGAGAAGCUACAACAAUGUAACUUGUCAUAAUAAACUAAAGACUGAAAAACAAGCCAUAUUAAAACUUAAAUAGGGUUUAUAUAAUAUUAAUUGAGGGUGUUUAUUCCCAUGAUUUCUUGGUGUGCAUGUUUAGCCAAGUGACUUUGACAGGAGUGAAUAAAAAUGAUUGCCAUGAACAAGAAAAAUGGUAAAUGGUAAAGUACACAGACACCAAAUUAGAAACCAAAAAACCUGGUAUUUAAAACUAAUUAGCUACGCAACACUUAGUACAUCAUUUAAUUUUUCUGAAUUUCGGUUCUGUACACCUAAAAAUAGAAUAAAAAGGUUAGAUUAACUUUAUUGUGACUUGCUACUCUAUAACUGUACAAGUUACUAAUAAAAACAACUUAAUUACAUAAUAUAAUAAAACAAAAAUAGAAGAAUACUUUCUUUACAAAAUUUUUAAAAAUCCUCUUUUCAGAUAAUGCUCCUGGUAUGUUUAAGAGUAUACUUGUUGCAUGCUGCUUUUUAAGUCUAUGCCAAUACGUAAAGUAUUAGAAUUGGAGUGAUUAAUUUUAUUUGACAGUGAUAUCAAUGUAUAUUUGAAAAAUACAAGAGAACCAGUAAUUAAGUUUGGAAAGUUGAUCAGGUCAGUCAAAAAAUAUAUGAAACAUCAAUAUCUUCCUUUAAUACCUACAAUAACCAGUUUGAAAAUCUAAUGGAACAUAUCUCAUUUAUGAUAGCAUGCACACACACACACACACACACACGCAUACACACACAUCCUAUUAAAGUUUAGAAAUAAAUAGAAUGAAAAUAUGUGUGAAGAACACUAUAAAUCUUUAAUCAGGAUUACAAAAAGCUAACUAUAUGGAUAGAUGCCAUGUUAUAGAUGGAAAGACUCAAUAUUUUUAAAACUAUAAUUCCUUCAAAAAUAUCAUACAACAUCCACGUAAAUAACAAUGGCACAGGGCUGCUGAUAAUAUUUGGCAGGAAUAAACAGGCAAGCAUUAACUGCUAAUUUUUAAAAAAAGAAUGAAAAUGAGGAGGCACUUAUUCUACCGAUUCAUAUAUUAUAAAGCUCAGGUACACAAGAGUACCUGAGAAACAGAAACCUUGCCCAUUACUAGACAUUUAUACUACUAUGUCAAUGACAUUAUUUUUAAUUCUUUUGUUUCAUUCCCCAUAAUAAGAAUAGAAAUUAAUUUAGGGAGAGAAACUUGUUCUCUUCUUGCUUGUACUUUGUGCAGCAGCACACGGAUUUUUAAUGUGUAUGUAGCGUGCCCUUAAUAUAGGCAUUUUGUAUUUAUUUGAAUGUAAUUAAAAAUUUCAACACUAGAAUAUUCCCAUCAUAAUAAAGAGCCUGACCUCAUUUGUGUUGCUGGCUGCUGACUUCUUUUUAAGCCUUACCCUCCCUUUCUUUGGCCCCACAUCUGUACAGUCUGAUUAAGAAAGGCCAUCCUACAUCUACUUAUUUGACACCUGUAGGAAACUUGAGCUUCUCAAAUCUCCAGCCCGCAUGAGUGGGAACCUUUUGCCAGCCCUAACCCCUAGUCAACAAAAAGGCCCAGGCCACUCCCUCUGUUUUGUCCAAACCAGCCUGAAUCUGUCUGGGGCCAUUCUGCUCUUCUUGGGAGUCUCUAUGUGAGUAAUGAACUUUCUUUCUCACUUAAUGUGUGGAGUAUCACCAGCAUUGACAUCUAAAUAGGUGACCAAAAACACUCAUAUGAUGCAAAAAGUAAUCCAAUUUUUUUUUCUAAAAAUCCAUUUUUAAAGUCAGUUUGAAAUGUGAGACAAAAAUAUAAAAUUGAACAUUUGUAAUCAUGUACAUUAUUCAAACUGAGUUUCUUGACACAAAGAAUGGAUAUAUUUCUUUAAAAUGUGACACUGGGGCAGAAGCUGACAGGGACAAAUGUACACAUAGUCCCACAAAAUAAAAUUUCAUAAUUAUUGUAUUAAAUAAUUGUUUUGGUUAUAAAUUUUCUAACAGCAAUAUCUUACAUAUUGAAUUUCUACAUGAAAAAUACUGACAUAUUAUGGUGUCUCUCUUUCCUUCCUCCUGAUCCUCUCACUAAAGUGUUUUCUAAGCAACCUCCUAAACUAUUAUUUUGUCUUGGUAUGAAAGCUUCAGAAGAAGAAAUAUAUUCAGGAUCCUGCAUCCUAGCCAAACCAUGAAUUAAUAAAUUGGCAGGAUUAGAAUCAUGUUCAACAACCUCCCUUGGAUUUAUACCUGCCAGCUCUCUACAUAGAUAAGGCUGGAAGAUUUUGGCAACACCUUGAGGCUAGAUUAGACUUAUUCAUUUUUCAGUUGAAAAGUCUUUCUCUGCCAAUAUAUUCAAUACAUUUAAUUCUCAAGUACUUUUGUUGAUAACAGCCAAAAUUCUCAUUAAAAUUAUCCUUGGCAAAGAAGACACAGCAUUACUAUGGUUUGAAAUCCCCACCAAAACUCAUCUUGAAAUGCAAUUGCCAUUGUAAUGGUAUUGAGAAGUAGAAACUUUAAGAGAUAAAUAGAUCAUGAGAGUUUUGCCUUCAUGAACGGAUUAAUGCUGUUAUUGCAUUAAUAACUAUAAUGGGUUAAUUGUCACAAGAGUUUGGUCCCCUUUUUGUCUCUGUCUCAUGCGCUUGCUUGCCAUGUGGUGUCCUUUCACCUAGGAUAACCCUUAUCAGAUGCCAGCUCCAAGCCCUUGGAUUUCCCAGUUCCAGAACUGUGUGCCAAAUAAAUUUCUGUUCUUAAUAAACUACGAAGUCCAUGGUAUUCUAGCAGCAGAAGACAAAUCAAGAGAGAAAACUGGUACCAAUAAGUGGAGCUGUUGUUAUAAUAAAUACCUGAAUAUGUGGAAGUGACUUUGGAACUGCAUAAAGGUAGAGGCUUGAAGAAUUUGAAGGAUCAGACUAGCAAAAAAACUGUACUGCUGUGAAUAGAGCUUUAAGAACAAUUCUAGUGAGGACUUGGAAGAGGAGAGCUGUAGAGAAAGUCUGAAUCUUCUUAAGAGUUUAUUUAAUUUGUUGUGACCAGAAUACUCAUAAAAAUACGGAGAGAAAAGGACAUUCUGGUGAGGUCUCAGACAGAAAUGAGUAAUAGGGUAUUGGAAACUGGAUUGAAAGCCAUCCUUGCUGUAAAGUAACAAACACCCUGGCUGAAUUGUGGCCAUAUUCUAGGACUUUGUAGAAUUCAGAACUUAGGGGCAAUGAACUAGAAUAUCUGGUUGAAGAAAUUUCUAAACAGCAGAGCAUUCAGGCUUCUGCCUGGCUACUUUUACCUGUACAUAACAUAAUAAGAUGUGAGAAAAAUAAACGACUUAAAGAUAGAUUUUAUAUUAAAGACAGAAGCAGACAAAAAAUCUGAAAAACUUACAGGGUGGCUAUGUAAAGAGUGAAAACCUAUGUUCAGGGACAGGCAUGGUGGCUCACACCUGUAAUCCUAGCACUUUGGGAGGCUGAGGCAGGCAGAUCAUGAGGUCAGGAGAUCAAGAACGGCCUGGCCAACAUGAUGAAACCCCGUCUCUACUAAAAAUACAAAAAAUUAGCCAGGUGUGGUGGCAUGUGGCUGUAGUCCCAGCUACUCAGGAGGCUGGGGCUGGAGAAUCACUUGAACCCGGGAGGCAGAGGCUGUAGUGAGCUGAGAUUGCACCACUGCACUCCAGCCUGUGCGAGACUGUCAAAAAAAAUUAUAUAUAUAUAAUAUUCAGGAGAGAAUAUCAAGGGUGCAGUCAAGUACUAUUUGCUAAAGAUAUUAACAUGGCUACAAAGGAGCGAUGUGCUAUUUAUCAGGACAAUAGGAGAAAGAUUUAAAAGGAAUUUCAAAAGUCUUUGAAGCUGCUGCUGCCCUCACAGUCUCUCGGAAGGCAAAAUGAUUUCAGGGGAUAUGCCCAAGGCACUCAUCAUGGGCUCCCUGUCCAGGGCCACCUAGCAACUCUUCUCCCCUUAUUCCAGUGUAACAUUCUUCACCUGCCCUAGUUGUGGCUCAAGUGGACCCAGGUAAAGCUUGGGCUGUCAUUCUGCAGAGUGCAAGUAGUAAGCUGUGGUAUCAUCAAUAUGGUGUUACACCUUCAGGCAUACAGUGUAAGAACUCUGGCUAUGGAUUCCUCCACUAAAGUUUCCAAGGAUGUCACAAAGAGCAUGAAGACUCAGGCAGAGACUUGUCUCCAGGGUCAAACCACCACAGAGAGCCCGUACUAAGACAAUGUUGAGUAAAAAUGUGGGUUUGGACUUGCCACAAAGAGUUUCCACUAGGGCAAUGACUACUGGAGCUAUGGAAGUGGGACCAUCCCUAAGACCACAGAACUGUAGGACUAAAACAGCAUGUGACUCUAACCUGUGAAAGCUGCAGAAGCUGGGUCCAGCAAAGCCCUGGGAGCAGGGUUGCCUGAGGCCUUGCGGGCCCAAUCCCUGUCUCAGCGUAUCCAGAAAUGAGGACAUGGUGUAAAAGGAUAUUGUUUCUCGGCUUUAUGACUUAAUAUUAUUUUUCGUGUUGGGUUUUAGACUUACUUAGGACCAGUUAUUGUUCUUUUCUUGCCUAUUUCUCUGUUUUGGAAUAGAAAUGUCUAUCCUAUGACUGUCCCACCAUUGCAUUUUGGAAGUAGAUAAUCAGUUUUGAAUUCAUAGUUUCACAGCUGGCAGAAAUUUGCGUCAUGAUGAAUCAUGUGAGUCUCUUCCAUAUCUGAUUUAAAUAAGACUCUGAAAUGUGGACUUUUGAGUUAAUGCUGAAACAAGUUAAAACUUUUGGAACUAUAGGGAUAGAAUGAAUAUAUUUUAUAUGUGAGCGGGACGUGAAUAUUGGGGGUCAAAGGAUGGAAUACUAUGAUUUUAGUGUCCCCUCCUAAACUCACAUUGAAACUUAAUUGCUAUUGCAAUGGUAUUAAGGAUAGGGACAUUGAGGUGAUUAGAUCAUGAGGAUGCCACCUCGUAAAUAGAUUAAUGCCCAUAUAAUGGGAGUGGAUUAGUUAUCCAGGAAGUCUUGGCCCCCUUUUUCGCUCUAUCUUGUGCAGCUGCUCAGCAUGUGAUGCUCUUCUGCCAUGAGAUGACCCUCUCCAGAUGUGGGUGCCAUGGUCUUGGACUUCCCAGCCUUGAGAAUCAUAAGCCAAAAAACUUCCAUUUUUUAUAUAUUUCCCAAUUUGUGGUAAUCAGUUAGAACAGCAGAAAAGGGACUGAUACAAGUACCAAGAGAAAGAUCCAGGCUAUUCUCUAUUUAAAAUAUUUAUUUCCUCUACUUCUAGUUUUUGUACACCUAGUUCACUUCUAAUAUUAAAGUUUUAUAUUUUACUCUGACUUUUUAAGGGCAUUUAUAUUUCAAUUGACUAGCUAUUUUUCUUUGGGUUUCAGGAAAGAAAGGAAAAUACAUGCAGAAAGAAAAAGGAUGGGUAAAAUACAGAAUAUAAACUUCCAAAUGUCUGUCUCCUUUGUGUAAAGGGUAUAGGAGAAUUUGUUUGUUUUAUUAAUCAUUUCAUUUUAAAUCCAAGAGGCGGUACAAGACAAAUGGAAAAUGUCAAGAAGGAUGACAUGACAAAGAGUCUAAUAAACUGCAGAAUGCUUAUACCACUGAGAGGAGCUAAACAACAUAAACUGCCUUCUGGGAAUGGAACAGCUUAUUUAGGUGUGAAAGAGAAGAUUAAAAAAGGAAAGAAAGAAAUUUCGACAGAGAUAAGGCUGUUAGUGUUAGACCUUAGAAAAUCAUUGGCCCUUAUUUCUCUCUGAGGAGGUAAGAAUCUAAGGGUUUAAGAUUGGAAGGGCAAACUGAAUAAUACAUUUUCUGAAUAUGUUAAGUUUUUGCAUUCUAGUUAUUCAGAUGGAAAAAUAUCAACUUGAUUUCAUAUAUGAAUGUCAUAGGUACCUAAAAAAGAAGUAGUCUACUGUGUGUAUUUUUGUGUAUAUGGAGAUUCUUAAAUGAAAUAAUGAAAGAACACAAUCUUUUAUAUGUAUUAUAGUGAUCAAGGAUCUAUACAAAAUUAUACAGGUAUACACAUGCAUUACAAUUCAUUGAUUUCACAAAUACCAUAAACUAUUAACUGUUUGUGAAUGUGUGUUUACAUUAAUACUUUCUUCUUCUGAAACAACCAUGUUAUUAACUUCUUUCUACAUAGAUUGAAAAAUAAAUUAUAGCCAAUUUUUUGCUAAGGUUUUACUGUAUUCUUACAAUUAAGUUUCACCAGAACUACUAUUUAUACUGUCAAUUAAUCACCAAAGGUGCUUAUUUUUCAAAGAAGUUAAAAAUUUUUUGGAAAACAUAAUACCAAAAGGAAUCCUAGGUCAAUAAAAGCUGCUUCAUGUUAUAUUUCCUCUGAAGGAAAAACUCUAUAUAAAAUAAAAAAAAUGAGGAAUCAAUGUAGUGAUGAAAAUUAAUUCCAUCUUAAAGCAUUUGUGUUUUUCAGAUUUUUGAAAGUAUAUUGUUAUCACGGUUUUUCCUAAAAACAUACAGGAGACUAUAUGGAUUGUCCUCGGGUUAUAAUUAAUCAUGGAGGAAAUUUUUAAAAUAGUCUACCCACAUCACAGGAUGGUACUAAGCUUUGGCUAUUGAGAUAAUUAGAGUCUGAUGCAAUGCACAGCUUUUAAUAAGAACUUCCUAACAGUGCCUUGUGAGUUUUCUUUUACAUACCAUGUAAAUCUUCAAUCCUUUGUGUUUGUUAAAUAUCAUUUUAUAUGUAUAAUACUUGUAGGCCUUUUUUGAAGAGACAUUGAACACUCAAUGCAUUACGUGCAAUACAAGUUUGUCCUUCAUAAGGAAGUAUUAGGACUGGCUAUUUUCACUCCCUAUCCCAGCCACUCCCCAUUUUGCCUGAUAAUUACUAGAUAGACUACAAAAGAAUGGCUGAAGUCUGCUAUACAGCUAAAACUAGUCCAUGAAUCAACAUUCAGGUUGGAAUUAGGCAGUAAAGACCCAACAGGAAAAUAUAGAAGUUACAUGAAGGAUACAUGCCCAGGGAAAUCAAAAUAAUACACAACCUUCUGGCCUUUCCUAACCCCUCCUGGUUCUACUGCCUGAAACUUGCUUCCUUUUACUUUUCUAGCUUUAUUUUACUCUUCCCUUUGGUGAACGUGUAUUUAAGAUUGUUGGGGUAUCAUUGAUGGACAUUUGGGUUGGUUCCAAGUCUUUGCUAUUGUGAGUAGUGCCGCAAUAAACAUACGUGUGCAUGUGUCUUUAGAAAAUGUGGCACAUAUACACCAUGGAAUAUUAUGUAGCCAUAAAAAAUGAUGAGUUCAUGUCCUUUUUAGGGACAUGGAUGAAGCUGGAAACCAUCAUUCUCAGCAAACUAUCACAAGGACAAAAAACCAAACACCGCAUGUUCUCACUCAUAGGUGGGAAUUGAACAAUGAGAACACCUGGACACAGGAUGGGGAACAUCACACACCGGGGCCUGUUGUGGGGUUGGGGGAGGGGUGAGGGAUAGCAUUAGAAGAUAUACCUAAUGUAAAUGACAAGUUAAUGGGUGCAGCACACCAACAUGGCACAUGUUUACGUAUGUAACAAACCUGCACAUUGUGCACAUGUACCCUAGAACUGAAAGUAUAAUAAAAAUAUAUAUAUAUAUAUAUUUAAAAAAAAGAUUGUUGGGGUAGCAUCCCUCACUAUCUCCUUACCUUUCUCCAACUAGUUAACAUUUCUCAAUAUUUGGUUCAAAGCUUACAUGCUAGGAGAAUCCUACCCUGCCAACUUCUGAUUUUCUUUCCUUAUCCUACACAAGGUUGAGCACCUCUUUUCAUCUACCGGAACACACAGUGCAUACGUCUUUGAAACAUAUCAGAAUACUAAAUUCUUUUUUAAAUCUACCUUUUCCACAAAAAAAUAAAUUCCUCCUGGAUGGGGACUCAUACUGUACAUCUUUUCUCUUCCAUUUUUCCCCGUAAUUUAUUUCUCUAAGACUUAGCCUAGAGCCUCGCACAUAUUUGGGUUUUGAUAAACAGUUGUGAAGUAAAAGAAGACGAAGGAUGGAGAGAGGAGAAAAAAAGAAAGUCAAUUUUAAAGCUAGGUGUGUUUGGCAGACGUUGAGACACGAAAAAUCUGGUAACCUGGGUUCUAUCCAAACCUGACACUGCUGGGGCACAUUCUCUUUUGCAGACCGUGAGGCAUGUAUUUUGAGCAUCUAUGCUAGUCUUAAAGGUGAGUGCUUCGUACCUGUUACAUGACAGGCAUUUUCAAUAAAUGACUACGUCUCCUCAUUUGUCCACAUUCCAAACUGCAGGAUCAAGAAGUGGUGGUAAUAUUCCCUGAGCUUUUCAUUACCCCUCCUAAUCUGACACUUUUUCUUUUGCAGGCAAGUGCCCAUUCUUUGAGCUUCACACUCUUUCCUAUGCUACACUUUAUUGCUUUUUUCUGUCAUCAUUAACUGAUCUUUUGGUAAUUUUAUUUUAUUUGUAAGGCCUUUGACUCCUCCUUCACAAUAAUACCAAACUAUCUCUCAUCAUUUUAAAAGGUCACUUCAAUUUCUGUACAGAUGAUCUUCACUUCUACUUAGGCCUCAACCAACACAAAUGACCAUUUACUGGACAGAAACAUACAUCACCUCUAAAAUCAUAGACUCCAGUAUGUCACAUAUGACCAAUCAUUUCUCCCUACCUUACUGGCACUACACUUAUUCUUUGACAUCACCAAAUCUCCACACUCACCUCCUCUACAUGACAAGCUUUCAAUAUUUGACACCAUCUGUGGCUUGCUUUGAGAUAUCUUUCUUUUAGUUUUCAUCACCUGGUAUCGUUUCUAGGCUGAUCAUCUUAGUUCUCUUUCUCUGUCUUUCUCUUGUGUUUCAAUGUUUCUGUUAAAAAUUUAGUAUCCAGAAUUGACACAUUAUUACAGAUGUGAUCUGACUAGGAGAGAAUAGUGUAAGACAUUAGAUCUCUUUAUCUUAGCAAAAUUCUUCUGACAUAGAGACCACGAUUAUAUUAAAAUAGUUACAGCAAAUAUGAUUUGUGUGAUACACACACUGAAUUUACCUUCAACUUAAGGGAUCUGAACAGCUGUCAAACCAGGAUUCUUCAUGUAAUUGAUUUUGAACCUAUACUUUAUCUGUGCUUUUUCAAAUUUAGGCUUAUUAUUCAGUCAACACUAACAAUUUGGAACUUGAUUAUCUAAUACAACAUAAGCUUUCUCUUCUAGCUUUAUGCCAUUUACAAAUUUGAUAGGCAUGUUUUAUUCAUCUUCAUUCACGUAGUGAUAGACGUUUUAAAAAUAUUAGGUCCAAGAAUAGAAUCUUGUGAAUGACCAUAGACAGUUCCUUGCAUUUCAGGAAUAGAAUGUUUAUCACUGCAGUUUGAAUAUUCAUCUGGUUCUACAAUCCUCAAACUCUGGACAAAAGAAACCCUGGUGGUAGGUUGUGGAUAUCAGGAAGUACUCAAAGCCACCGAAUACAUCUAAGGCAUAUUCUAGUCAUAUCAAUAUUGCUUGAAGAUUUGAUUGAUUUAUUUAGAUAUCAAUUUUGUUUGAAUAUUUGGAGAAAAACAACUAGUUUAAUUGGCAAAUAAUUUGAAGUAUUACUUUUAAUUGUAUAUACACAAAUGUUAUAACUUUUAAAGGUAAUAAUGAGACUUAAAUAUUUUUGAGCUUUAUUUUGCUUUCUGUCUGAGGCCAGAGUGUUCACUAUCUUCUGCCUUUAGGAACCCUUUGGUGAAAAUGUUUCAGUGUCAUCACUCUGUCAAGACUUUUCAAUAUCUUUCCUAAGGAUUUCAGCACUUGUCUUACCUGCUGCGAUGUGAGGAAGGACAUGUUUGCUUCCCCUUUCACCAUGAAUGUAAGUUUCCUGAGGCUUCCCUGCCCUGAGGAACUGUGAGUAAAUUAAACCUCUUCCCUGUACUUUAUGGCAGUGUGAGAAUGAACUAAUACACAUAUAGAUAAGGGUGGAACUGAAAUUUAAAGAGAUGUUGUUAAGGCUUCAGAAGAUUUACUUUGACUAUUGCCUUCUCCUUAAUUACAUUCAAACAUAUAUAUUCACACAGAUCCAAAGCACUGUGGUAAUUAUGAUGGAGGAAAUGGUAGAGAAGCACGUUAUGAGUACUUAUGAUGCUGGGUUCUUGAAGGGACAUAUCUAUUUAUUUUGAAAUAGGGACUCACUUUGAAACCCAGGCUGGAGGCUGGAGUGCAGUAGCACAAUCUUGGCUCACUGCAGCCUCGACCUCUAGGGCUCAGGUGAUUCUCCCACCUCAGCCUCCUGAGUAGCUGGGACUACAGGAGGAUACCACCACACCUGGCUAAUUAUUAUUAUUAUUUUUUUCAGAGAUGGGGUUUUGCCAUGCUGCCCAGGCUGGUCUCAAACUUCUGGGUUCAAGUGAUUCUCCCCCUUGACCUCCCAGAUUGCUGGGAUUGUAGGUGUAGCCACUGCACCUGGCCAUGGAAAGGACCUAUUCUAAAGGAGCUUAAAAUCUAGUAGGCAACAGAAAGUUACAGGGUAAUGAUCCUGGAGCCAGUCCACGUACUACAGUGAUAGUAAUUAGAAGAAAUGGUUGGAUAAAUGGCAAAUCCUUUUUUAAAAAUUCAAAGGUGACUAAGGAUAGGGAGGUUGUGGGGUUAUUUUUCAGAUUAGUUUUGCAAAAGCACCUUAUUUAUCUAGUAUUAUUAGAGAGGAACUAGUUUUCCUAGGGUUAUAUUUCCAAACUGUUAAAACUGAAAAUCUCUAAGUACUAAAAUGUUUCCUAUGGUAAAUAUUUUAAAGAACAAGUUUCUAAAAUAUAUUAGGUUUUGCUUACUUCUAAGAUUGGCCAUGACUUUAAUAUUUGCUAAUAUCUCAGGGUUAUUGUUUAAAUAUUAACUUAUAUGCUAGCAUUAUACUGCAGUGAUACCUUUAGGAGUUGUUUUAUGGCACAGAUUUGUUUUUGCAGGAAGAGUCCUAUACUGACAGGUUAUAUGAGUUAGUUUAUCUGAUUGAUUUUUUUCCCGUCUCUUGCUUAAGAGGGCUCCUUAAGGCUCCCUGCUGUUGUCCUGUGUGCCUGCUUUGUGUAACACCCCCUUCAGAUUGACAUAUUGAGAUCUCCAGAGCAAAGUGAAAAAAAAACCACAGAGGCUUUUUCUUAAGAAAAAGAAAUAGGCUUCAAGUAAGUAUUUAAAGGGCAUUCUUAUGAGUAAGCUACAGGGACUUGGUGUUCUCUGUUUCGCUGUUCAGAGGUUUUAUUUAUAUCUUUCAAAUUCUUUGUUGUAUUCUGGAUGCUGAAGGUUUCAGCUAUAUCCUCUCGGAGUUGGAUAUGACCAUACAAUUCUACAGCACUUUUUUCAUAUCUAAUUUUUUUUGUUGGAGUUAUUCAAACUGGAGACCAAUCUUUUUAAAAAGAAUAAAUAUCUAUGUCCUUCUUAGGCCAG